RNAcentral lists this ribosomal RNA (497 nucleotides) under uncultured bacterium. Its description in RNAcentral is "partial 16S ribosomal RNA". It matches the Rfam family "Bacterial small subunit ribosomal RNA", at positions 28 to 507 of the family's 1533-position model. The record is from RNAcentral.
GAUGAACGCUGGCGGCGUGCCUAAUACAUGCAAGUCGAGCGAACAGACGAGGAGCUUGCUCCUCUGACGUUAGCGGCGGACGGGGGAGUAACACGUGGAUAACCUACCUAUAAGACUGGGAUAACUUCGGGAAACCGGAGCUAAUACCGGAUAAUAUAUUGAACCGCAUGGUUCAAUAGUGAAAGACGGUUUUGCUGUCACUUAUAGAUGGAUCCGCGCCGCAUUAGCUAGUUGGUAAGGUAACGGCUUACCAAGGCAACGAUGCGUAGCCGACCUGAGAGGGUGAUCGGCCACACUGGAACUGAGACACGGUCCAGACUCCUACGGGAGGCAGCAGUAGGGAAUCUUCCGCAAUGGGCGAAAGCCUGACGGAGCAACGCCGCGUGAGUGAUGAAGGUCUUCGGAUCGUAAAACUCUGUUAUUAGGGAAGAACAAAUGUGUAAGUAACUAUGCACGUCUUGGCGGUACCUAAUCAGAAAGCCACGGCUAACUACGUG